Molecule: small RNA, 32 nt
Filed under: Bombyx mori (domestic silkworm)
Lineage: Eukaryota; Metazoa; Arthropoda; Insecta; Lepidoptera; Bombycidae
Description: ovarian small RNA-26516
Source: RNAcentral
UCCAACGUUAAUCGGGGCUGGGUGAGUCGACC